This 650-nucleotide long non-coding RNA is filed under the name Panax ginseng (ginseng). Its description in RNAcentral is "long non-coding RNA (PGIN_LNC002174)". The record is from RNAcentral. Lineage: Eukaryota; Viridiplantae; Streptophyta; Magnoliopsida; Apiales; Araliaceae.
UUGAAUCCUCUCAGAACAGAAAUUUAAAAGAAAGAAGUGAGAAUGAUGAGAACAAGGUUGCUAUGGUUCACAUUGGGCUUUGGAUCCUCAACAACUACAAUUACCAACUUCGUCUUCAAAGAUCUCUAGGUUCCAAGACUGGGUCAAUCGUCAAAUUCUCUUGCAUAAUUAUCAGAUAAUUUCAGUUUGGGUUUUCAAUUUAUAUUCAUAUUUCUCUCCUCCAGCCCUAAUUUGGUCUGAUUGCCAUUAUCUUUCUCCUGUUUCUCUCCCCCCUCUGACAAACCCUAAAUUUCAAAGAAGAAUCUAGCUGGUUUGUUAUGGCGGCUGUGUGUUCGGAUUUUGCCUCCUCCAUCGUUGAUAAUAAAUUAAAAGUUAGUUUCUAACUGUGUAUAUUUGCUGUUAAGAAACUCAAUCUUAUUGGUACCUAAUUGUGGGUAAUUUCAUUGUACAUGUUGUUUGGUAAUAAUUAGGGAAGUACACAAUGUGUUUGAUAAAUUGUCUACUUGAACUAGAUAGUCAGCAACUCAGCUUGAAUUGCUUCAAUUUGAACAAAACUUGUAAUGACCAAACAUCAAGGAAAAUUUGUACAUGAAUCUCUGUAAUUGUUAGUGUUGGGGAUAAAGUUUUCUGCAUAACCAAUAAGAUGAAGC